Balaenoptera ricei (Rice's whale) is the source of this 1354-nucleotide long non-coding RNA. RefSeq lists it as uncharacterized. NCBI's taxonomy places the organism in Eukaryota, Metazoa, Chordata, Mammalia, Artiodactyla, Balaenopteridae. The transcript has 3 exons. The record is from RefSeq and is a predicted model, not a curated record.
AGUCAUUUCAGCGCAGAGGCUACCACUCACUCCUCGGGAGCGACAGCCCAUCCUGCAAGCUCAGCCCCUUCCCUGGAGGGACAGGCGGCCCUGGGGGCUCUUCUCCCUCCAUCCGCCGCGGCCCGGGGCUUGCUCCCCCGGCAGCGCCGAGCACUCCGGGAGGCCCGGGUGGGUGGGACCCGGCAAACAGCGGCCGUGAUUGCUAUCCUGGCCUGGUCCGGCCCAACAGGCUUUACCGAGGAGCCGCGAGGUUUGAGUCCUUAUUUCCCAGCCAGCUCAGGGGGCUCAGGAAAGGAAUGGGUCGGGGGCCCAAGGCUCGGUCCCUGGAGGAACAGGAGGACCUGACCCAGCGCCUAGGGCAGCGCGACCAGCGGUCACCCCGCCCCCUCCCCGAGGGCAGCAGGGGUGAGGAGAGGCCAAGACGCCUGUUCCAGGGGGCUCUUACCUCCCCACACCCCUGCGGAGCUCUGUGAGGCUUGACGAGACGCCGCGUUAAGGAGUGAAGAGCGACCCCGGCCGGGAAUCCAGGGUGUGCGCGAUGUCGGCUCAAGCAAAAAAUUCACAUAUAUCCUGGCUCUUCCUUUAUCUCUUUGGAGCAAUUCCCCAAUUUGGAGUUAUCUGAGAGGCUGUCUCCUGGGCUAUGGUCCACAGCUGAUGUUAAUAUUGUCACAGAAUCCUCCCAUGUUGGCAUCCAUUUGGGAAAAAAGAAUUCAGGAUUCAGGAGGCCUGGAUCCUACUACCAGCUCUGCCUGUAACCCAGUGGUGCCUGAUGAGGGAUCUCAUCUUCCUGAGCUCCUCCCAAAAGGUGAGGAGACCUUGUAGUCCCAGCAGGCUCAAACUUAGGUAGAUUUCACAUCUUCCCCCUCCCCAGAAGCUGCCUGGCUCUUCCCAGGGGAGCGGAAUCUUCCGGCACACAAGUAAUCUCCCAGGGCAAGAAAUGGGGUCAGAGUGACCACCUCAGCCGACAGUGAACCUAACUAGUCUUGGUGAGAUCCUUGGCUUCUGAUGAAUCAUAGGCUGCCACCAAGCAGGUGGCUGCACUGGUCUGUUACUGCUUAUGCUUUUUUUUCCUUUUUAAUACUAUUAUUAAAAAAAUUUUGGGCUUCCCUGGUGGCGCAGUGGUUGAGAGUCUGCCUGCCGAUGCAGGGGACACGGGUUCGAGCCCUGGUCUGGGAAGAUCCCACAUGUCGCGGAGCGGCUGGGCCCGUGAGCCACAACUACUGAGCCUGCGCGUCUGGAGCCUGUGCUCCGCAACGAGAGGCCGCGACAGUGAGAGGCCCGCGCACCGCAAUGAAGAGUGGCCCCCGCUUGCCGCAACUAGAGAAAGCCCUCGCACAGAAACGAAGACCCAACA